Equus asinus (donkey) is the source of this 5917-nucleotide long non-coding RNA. Lineage: Eukaryota; Metazoa; Chordata; Mammalia; Perissodactyla; Equidae. The record is from Ensembl.
GUGGUGGUCAUCCUCACCCUACAUCACCAUCAGUAUCUCCUCCUGGAGCCUGAGGCUGCCUGGUGCUUAUCUGUCUGGCUACUACCUCAGCUGACAAACUAGGAAAGACCUGUGUUCUCAAGUGGAGGUGUUUGUUUUAGAUCUACAAUUAUAUAUUCAAUGAUGACCAGCUGUUCAAAAGUCCAAAUUUCCUCAGUCCUCUCUCGUUGGGUGGAGUUCAUCCUUAAAAGACUCCUCAAGAUGGAAGCAGGACUCCUUGACACAGGGACAGCUUGGUGACUAUAAAGUACUUGCCCACAAUGACUUUUAUUGAGUUUUUAUAAAAUAUUGUCCUGCUUUAUAUGUUCUGUUGAGUUGUAGAAGGUAAAUUAAUUUUCUCCCCAUUGUAUGCAAAUAGGCUUCUUUGAGGCAAGAGGGAGGUCUGGAACUUCAGAGGAACCUUUUUUCUUUUUCUUUAAAAUCUAUCAGUUCUAAGAGGAUAGGCUUAGAGUUGACCAUUCCAGUUAUAUUUCUCCCCGGGAUCUAGACUUUCUCUCUGAUCCUUUCUCAGCAUCUUUUCUUCAUUUUUGUUCUUUUUGAUGCUUUCAUUUCUUUAUUCAAUAUCCCUUAUAGUAUUUUUAGACAAAUAUGUUGCCCUUAUGAACAUUGUCAUUUAGCCUCUUUUUCAGAGAGUUUUCUUUUUCUUCAAUUUUUUUCCUAAUUUCUGCCAAUUCUCUCACUUUCUGUUUCCUGUCCACUUCUCUUUUGAACUGUGUAUUUCUUACACUAAGUUUUGUUUUCGUCACAUCUACAAAUGCUUUGUUAAGAACAUUUACUUCAGAUAGGGAUGUCAUUUUACAGUUUUCCCAUGUUUUGUGAUUGAUUUUGAGGGGUGUCGUUUCAUGAGCUGAAAUCUUUGACUCUCUAUUUCUGUUGUUCUCUUUUGUCACCUUGGAAUACAUGUCUGCUAGGAGAUUUCAUGUCAGUAUGCCUAGGUUUACCUGAAUGAGAAAUAAAAGUUUUAUGUGGGAAUGGAUAAGUGCUUUGAGUAGCUUAGUGGAUUUCUAGGUCUGGAUCUCUCUCUUUGACGCAAUUACUAUAAUAGAUGUAAGGUUUGGGGGAUACGUGUGGUGUGUCUUCUGAUUCUGGGAUUCCAUUUUCUUUCAGCAGGACCUUUAAUUUCUAGCUGUUGCUUCAUUCUUGCUCUUCAAUAGUAGCCUUCAAAGGAAGCUACCUUCAUCAGGGUCUCCCCCUGGCCUGGCAGAUGUGCUUCCCCAAGAUUGUCACCUCUGGUCCUCUCACUGUCGAACCCCUUCCUUUCUGUUCCCAAGCAUCCAGAGCUGUAGUCACCCAGGUCUCUGGCCUGCUCUGAGUUCAUCACACUCUCUUUCUAUGGAGAAUUUAUCUCUGUUCCCUCCUGAGCAGACCCUCCCUGCUGUCAGCUCCUCUGUUUGCAUGGACUUUACUGAUCCAUCCACUGCUGGACAUAAGCUUUCAACUCUGGGGAAACCAAAGAGCAUGAGUGAUCCUUGGAUCCUAUAGUAAGAGUUUGCUUAGUUUUGUAAGAAACAAUCAAACUCCCAAAUCCCCAAAUCCCAAAUAACUGUCUCGUUUUGCAUUCUCACCAGCACAGACUGAGAGUUCUUAUUGCUCCAUAUCUUUAUCAAUUUUUGGUGUUUAUUAUCAGUUUUUGGAUUUUAGCCAUUCUUAUAGAUGUGUAGUGAUAUCUUCUUUAGUUUGCUAUUCCAUCAUAAUGGCAUAUGAUGUUGAGUAUCCUUUUGCAUGUUUUACAUCUGUCUAUCUUCCUUGGUAAGGUGUCUAUUCAGAUCUUUUGACCAUUUUCAAAUUGGAUUGUCUGUUUUCUUGUUGAGUUUUAAGAGUUUUUAUCUUCGGGUAACAGUCCUUUAUCAGAAACAUCUUUUGCAACUAUUUUCUCUCAGCCUGUGUGUUAUUAUUUCAUUCUCUGAAAAAUAUUUUUCUCAGAAGUUUUUAAUUUUAAUGAGUCCUGCUUAUCAAAGUUUUCUGUUAUGGAUUAUAUUUUGCAUGUUAUAUCAAAAAAAUCGUCACCAUACCCAAGAUCAUCUAGAUUUUCUCCUGUGUUAUGUUCUAGAAGCUUUUAUACUUUUGUAUUUUACAUUUGAGUCUAUGAUGCAUUUUGAGUUAAUUUUGUGAAAGGUUUAAGAUCUACUUUCUAAAUUUAUUCCUUUGCAUGCGGAUGUCUAGUUGUUUCCAGCCCCAUUUGUUGAAAGGAAGGUCCUUUCACCAUUAAAUUGCCUUUGUUCUUUUGUCAAGGUUAGUUGACUGUAGUGUGAGUCUAUUUCUGGGCUCUUUAUUCUGUUCCAUUGAUCUAUUUGAAUAUCCUUUCACCAGCACCACACUGUUUUGAUUACUGAAGCUUUAUAGUAAGUUUUGAAGUCAGGUAGCACCAGUCCUUUGACUUUGUUCUUCUACAUCAAUAUUGUGUUCACUCUUCUGGUUGAUUUAUCUCUCCAUGCAAACUUUAGAAUCAGGUUGUUGAUACUCACAAAAUAACUUGCUAAGAUUUUGGUUGAGAUUGUAUUGAACCUAUAGAUAAGUGGAGAAGAGCUGCCAUAUUGACAAUAUUUAGUUUGCUCUUUUUUUUAUGGUUUCCGAAGAAGGAAGCAUAGGUGAUGGAUUUUAGAUCUUUCUCCUUUCCAAUACAUGGAUUCAGUGCUAUAAAUUUCCCUCUAAGCACUGUUUGCUGCAUCCCACAAAUUUUGAUAAGUUGUAUUUUCAUUUUUAUUUAGUUAAAAAUAUUUUAAAAUUUCCCUUUAGACUUCUUUGAUUCAUAUGUUGUUUAGAAGUAUUUUUAAUCUCCCAAUAUUUUGGAAUUUCCAACUAUCUGUCUGUUAUUAAUUUCUAGUUUAAUUCCAUUGUGGUCUUAGAACAUCCAUUGUAUAAUUCCCAUUCUUUUACAUAUCUUAAAGUGUGUUUUAUGGCCCAGAAUAUGGUCUACCUUGGUGAAUGUUCCAUGUGAGCUUGAGGAGAAUGUGUAUUCUGCUGUUGUUAAACGAAGUACUCUACAGAUGUCAGUUAUAUCAAAUUGAUUGAUUGUGUUAUUUAAUUCAAUUAUGUCCUUAUUUAUUUUCUUCCUGCUGAAUAUGUCAAUUACUGAUAGAUGGGUGUUGAAGACUCCACCGGUAACAGUGGAUUCAUCUAUUUCUUCUUGUAGUUCUAUCAAUCUUCGCUUCAUGCAUUUUGACACUCUGCUCUUAGAAGCAUACUUGUUAAGACUUGUUAUGUCUUUUUUGGAGAAUUGUCCCCUUUAUCAUUAUGUAAUGCCUCUCUUUAUCUCUUAUAAUUUUCUUUGUUCUGAAUUUAUUUUGUGUGAAAUUAAUACAGCAAAUCCAGCUUUCUUUUGAUUAAUAUGAGCACGAUAUAUCAUUCUUCAUCCCUUUACUUUUGGUCUGUGUCUUUAUAUUAAAAGCAAGUUUCUGGUAGACAACGUAUCUUAUUUUUUAGUCACUCUGAGAAUCUCUAUUUUUUAAUUCAUAUAUUUAACCAUUGACAUUUAAAGUGAUUGUUGAUAUUUUGGAUUAAUAUCUACCAUAUUUGUUACUGUUUCUAUUCAUUACCCUUUCUUUUAUUAUUUUUUGUCUUCCAUUCUUUUGUUUUUUUCUGAUUUUUAGUUGAACAUUUUAUACGAUUCCAGUUUUUCCCUCUCUUAGUAUAUCAUUUAUACCUUUUUGAAACUCGUUUUAGCAAUUGUCCUUGAGUUUGCAAUAUAAAUUUGCAAUUAAAUCCGAGUCUUCUUUCAAUAACACUAUAACCUUUCACAGGUAGUGCAAGUACCUUAUAUCAGUGUAUUCCUAAUUACUUUCUUCUGUCCCUGGCAGCAUUGCUGUCAUUCAUUGCACUUAUCCAUAAGCUAUAAUCACUGAUUAAUACAUUGCUGCUAUUAGUAUUUGAGCAAAUUGUUGCAUAGUAAAUCAUCUAAGAAUGAGAAAAAUUAAAGAUUUAAUUUUGUCUUCAUUUAUUCCUUCUCUCAUGUACUUCCUUUCCUUUCGUAGACUUGAGUCUCUGACUUUUAUAUUUUUCUUCUUCCUGAAGUAUCUCUUUUAACAUUUCUUGCAAGGCAGGUCUACUGGUAACAAAUUCCUCAUUUUUUGCUUCUCUGAGAAAGUCUUUGUUUCUCUUUCCCAUCGGAAAAAUAAUUUUGCUGAAUACAGAAUUCUAGGUUGGUAUUGCUUUAUCUUCUUCUUCUUUUUUAAACACUUUAAAUAUUUCAUUCUCUUCUUGCUUGCAUGGUUUCUGAACUGAAGUCUGAUGUAAUUCUUAUCCUUGCUUCUCUACAAGUAAGGUGUUUUUUCUUUGAAUUUUCUCUUUGUUAUUGAUUUUCUGCAGUUUGAAUAUGAUAUGUGUAGAUGUAGAGUUUUUGGUAUUUAUCCUGCUCAGUGUUCUCUGAGAAACUUAGAUCUGUAAUUUGUUUUCGUCAAUUUGGGAGAAAUUUUCAGUCAUUAUUACUUCAAAUGCUUCUUAUUUUCUUUUCUUUCUUUUCCUUCUGGUAUGCCAAUUAUGUGUGUUACACCUUUUGUAAAUGUCCUACAAUUCUGGGAUAUUUUGUUUUACCUUUUUCAUUGUUUUUCCCUUUGAAUUUCAGUUUUGGAAGUUUCUAUUGACAUUAUUUUAAGCUCACAGAUUCUUUCCUCAGCUAGGUCCAGGCUACUAAUGGCGCCAUCAAAGGUAUGAUUCAUUUCUGUUAUAGUGCUUUUGACUUCUAAUAUUUCCUUUUGAUUCUUUCUUAAAGUUUCCAUCUUUCUGCUUAUAUUACAUUGUCUUUUUUUGUAUAUUCUACACGUUUUCCAUUAAAGCCCUUAGUAUAUUAAUCAUGGUUAUUUUAAUUUCUCAGACUAAUAAUUCCAACAUCUCUGACAUAUCUGAGUUUGCUUCUGAUGCUUGCUCUCUCUGUCUCUUCAAACUUUGUCUUUUGUCUUUAGUAUGUCUUGCAAUUUUUUUUGAAAGCUGGACAUGAUGUACUGGAUUAAAAAAAUAAGGCACGCAGGCCUUUACUGUAAGGUUUUAUGUUUAUCUGGCUAGGUAUUGGGCUGUGCUUAUUGUUUGCUGUAACUGUAGCUGUCACGGGCUAAAAUUUUUCUUUGUUUUUGUCUCUCCAGUUGUCUUUGGGCUUCUCUUGAAACUUUUUCUUAAAUAAGGUGUGAGACAUAUAGUUCGUUCAUUUGCAUUCCCAUGUUAUUAUAUAGGAGCCCUGUUAAUGUGGUGUAAGGUGUGAGGAUGAAGAGUCCAAUGGUUCUAUGAUUAGGCUUUAUUCCUUUGGUGAGCUUAGGGCCCUGAGCUGUGACUGUCACAAGUGCUUUUCAGUUCCCUCUCCCACCUUAGGUGUGACAGGAAAGCUAGAGAGGGCUGGAGUUGGGUAUUUCUCUUCCUCCACGUCUUUUAGAUAAAAUCCCAGUUGGUUAGAAUCUGGUGAAAUAGUUAUUUUUGAGAUUAGGUCGUGUUAAGAAGAAUAAAAUGUUCUGAACACAUCUCAAAAUGGCAACUUACUCCUUUCCCUUCUGGAAACAUGAGGGGAUUUUUCUUGCAAUCUUCACUGUGAGAACCUGGUAGGUCUCCUGGAGAUAAAACUCACAAAAACCUGUAGGUGCACCUGAGACUAGGCACUCUUUAGUUUUAAAUCCUCAGACUUGUCCACACUGAACUUCCAGUAACUCAUCAAUUAGAAUUUUGAUUUUCCUGCCCUGGUGCUGGUUCUCAGGAGGUUUUUCCUUGUAGGUUUUGGCUCUGCUAAGUUCAGAUUCUUCAUAUCUGCCUAUGUGUGUCUCUACUUUUUUAGGGUAGUAGUUUGCCCUGUGUUCUCAAUUCUACGAUGGAUCCAAGAACAGUUGUUGGUUUGCAGUUUGUUCAGCUUUUUUCUUAUUUUGUAGUGGAUGACUUCUAAGCUCUUUACACACCAAUUCCG